AUGACGCCCGCGACUCCCACCGCCGCCGCGCCCAUCCGCCAGCACCUCCCCUCCUCCUCCUCGGCGCGCUCCGGCAACCCGCGCCCCAGCGGCCGCCUCCGCCUGCGCCUGCCCGCUCGCCCCCGCGCCGCCCCCUCGGCCUCCAUGUCCGCCGAGGCGCGGGCGGCCCCGUCGCCCGUGCCGCCUCCAGCGCACCCCACCUACGACCUCAGCGCCGUCAUCGCCCUCGCCCUCUCCGAGGACGCCGGCGACCGAGGGGAUGUGUCAUGCUUGGCUACGAUACCAACCGAUGUGAAAGCUGAAGCCACUUUUAUUGCUAAGGAGGACGGUGUCAUUGCAGGCAUAAGCCUGGCUGAGAUGAUAUUUAACCAGGUUGAUCCGUCGUUGAAGGUUGAAUGGUUUGAAGCUGAUGGAAAUUAUGUUCAUAAGGGAUUGCAGUUUGGCAAAGUAUAUGGGUGUGCUCAGAGUAUUAUUGUUGCUGAGAGGGUUGUGCUAAAUUUCAUGCAAAGAAUGAGUGGAAUCGCUACAAUGACGAAGGCCAUGGCUGAUGCUGCUCGUCCAGCAUGCAUACUGGAAACAAGAAAAACUGCUCCAGGUUUACGUCUGGUUGACAAGUGGGCAGUAGUAAUUGGUGGUGGGAAGAAUCACAGGCUUGGAUUAUUUGAUAUGGUUAUGAUAAAAGAUAAUCAUAUUUCUGUUGCCGGGGGCAUUACAAAUGCAAUGACAUCUGUUGAUCAGUUCUUGGAGAAGGAAAAUCUUGCAGUUCCUGUUGAGGUUGAGACGAGGACACUCGAGGAAGUUAGAGAUUUAUUGAAGUAUACCGAUGAGAACAAGACUUCAUUAACUCGUAUAAUGUUGGAUAAUAUGGUUGUACCUCUUCCUAAUGGGGACCUAGAUGUGUCAAUGCUCAAAGAUGCAGUUCAGUUGAUAAAUGGAAGAUUUGAGACUGAGGCGUCUGGAAAUGUGACGAUCGAUACGGUGAAGAAAAUUGGAGAAACUGGAGUUACAUACAUUUCAAGUGGAGCGUUGACGCAUUCCGUGAAGGCGCUCGACAUAUCUCUCAAGAUAGACACCGAGCUGGCUCUUCAAGUUGGAAGGCGCACAAAGCGCGCCUGA
Molecule: ribosomal RNA, 1116 nt
Filed under: Triticum aestivum (bread wheat)
Lineage: Eukaryota; Viridiplantae; Streptophyta; Magnoliopsida; Poales; Poaceae
Description: partial small subunit ribosomal RNA
Source: RNAcentral